Molecule: long non-coding RNA, 749 nt
Organism: Bombus huntii
Lineage: Eukaryota; Metazoa; Arthropoda; Insecta; Hymenoptera; Apidae
Exons: 2
Source: RefSeq, a predicted model, not a curated record
CCUUCAAGGUGGUUUGUAUCAUUGGGUGAGAUGGUCGAGAUAAUGCGGACGCGAACUUGAUUGUUGUCAAGUCGCGUGUAGGUGACGUGCUGUGGGUGUCAUGCAAUGAGAUGCGUGUGUCUUGCGACGAGAUCGAAGCACACACAUACAAUACAAACAAGGCAAGUCAAAUACCUAGAACUCCACUUAGAUACACGACUCACAUGGAAACAGCAUAUUAAAGCAACAAUAGACAAAAUACAGAUGGCAAGGAGACAAAUAUACUGGCUAACAAGUCGAAAAUACAAACUAAGCAUAGAAAACAAACUAAAAAUAUAUAAAAUGGCCAUAAAACCAAUCUGGACGUACGGAAUAGCACUAUGGGGAACAGCAGCAAUGAGCCAUAUAACCAAAAUAGAGGCAAUGGAAUCUAAAAUACUCAGAACAAUAGUAAACGCGCCAUGGUACGUUAGAAACGAGGACAUUCGGAAAGACCUGGGAAUACCAACGGUCAAGGAGGAGAUUAACAGAAGUGCAAGAAGGUAUAGAGAAAGAAUAGCAACGCACCCAAACCGGCUGGCAGCGGAAACGGUCGACACAUCAAGCAUAAAAAGAAGAUUAAAAAGAAAACACCCAACAGAUCUCACAAAGGACAUAACCUAACAAACACGAUGAUGGUACCCCGCUGGGGGUAGCCACCGACAUGUCAUAUUAGUAUACCGCUAUAAUAUUUUACCAAAUGUCCUACUGGACAAAUUGUAAAAAUUUAA